GCCUUCGUGGUGUAAUGGUAACACACUCGACGCGUAUUCGAGAGGCCCAGGUUCGAGUCUAGGCGAGGGCA
Molecule: transfer RNA, 71 nt
Filed under: Stegodyphus mimosarum
Lineage: Eukaryota; Metazoa; Arthropoda; Arachnida; Araneae; Eresidae
Rfam family: tRNA
About the family: Transfer RNA (tRNA) molecules are approximately 80 nucleotides in length.
Source: Rfam by way of RNAcentral